RNAcentral lists this ribosomal RNA (363 nucleotides) under uncultured Lutibacter sp. RNAcentral describes it as "bacterial SSU rRNA". It matches the Rfam family "Bacterial small subunit ribosomal RNA", at positions 1020 to 1382 of the family's 1533-position model. The record is from RNAcentral. Lineage: Bacteria; Pseudomonadati; Bacteroidota; Flavobacteriia; Flavobacteriales; Flavobacteriaceae.
UUUCGGACUACUUACAAGGUGCUGCAUGGUUGUCGUCAGCUCGUGCCGUGAGGUGUCAGGUUAAGUCCUAUAACGAGCGCAACCCCUGUCGUUAGUUGCCAGCAAGUAAAGUUGGGGACUCUAACGAGACUGCCGGUGCAAACCGCGAGGAAGGUGGGGAUGACGUCAAAUCAUCACGGCCCUUACGUCCUGGGCUACACACGUGCUACAAUGGUAUGGACAGAGAGCAGCCACUGGGUGACCAGGAGCGAAUCUACAAACCAUAUCACAGUUCGGAUCGGAGUCUGCAACUCAACUCCGUGAAGCUGGAAUCGCUAGUAAUCGCAUAUCAGCCAUGAUGCGGUGAAUACGUUCCCGGGCCUU